RNAcentral lists this ribosomal RNA (110 nucleotides) under Peromyscus maniculatus bairdii (prairie deer mouse). The record is from RNAcentral. Lineage: Eukaryota; Metazoa; Chordata; Mammalia; Rodentia; Cricetidae.
GUUUACAGCCAUAUUACCCUGAAUGUGCCAGCUUUCACCUGAUCUUUCUAAGCAUGGUCAGGUCUGGUUAGUACUGGGAUGGGAGGAUAGUUACCAGACUUCUAGAAACC